AGUGAACGCUGGCGGUAGGCCUAACACAUGCAAGUCGAACGGCAGCACAGUAAGAGCUUGCUCUUACGGGUGGCGAGUGGCGGACGGGUGAGGAAUACAUCGUAAUCUACUUUUUCGUGGGGGAUAACGUAGGGAAACUUACGCUAAUACCGCAUACGACCUACGGGUGAAAGCAGUGGAUCUUCGGACCUUUCGCGAUUGAAUGAGCCGAUGUCGGAUUAGCUAGUUGGGGGGGUAAAGGCCCACCAAGGCGACGAUCCGUAGCUGGUCUGAGAGGAUGAUCAGCCACACUGGAACUGAGACACGGUCCAGACUCCUACGGGAGGCAGCAGUGGGGAAUAUUGGACAAUGGGCGCAAGCCUGAUCCAGCCAUACCGAGUGGGUGAAGAAGGCCUUCGGGUUGUAAAGACCUUUUGUUGGGAAAGAAAAGCAGCAGGUUAAUACCCCGCUGUUCUGACGGUACCCAAAGAAUAAGCACCGGCUAACUUCGUG
RNAcentral lists this ribosomal RNA (492 nucleotides) under uncultured bacterium. RNAcentral's name for it is "partial 16S ribosomal RNA". It matches the Rfam family "Bacterial small subunit ribosomal RNA", at positions 29 to 507 of the family's 1533-position model. The record is from RNAcentral.